RNAcentral lists this ribosomal RNA (468 nucleotides) under uncultured bacterium. RNAcentral's name for it is "partial 16S ribosomal RNA". It matches the Rfam family "Bacterial small subunit ribosomal RNA", at positions 28 to 507 of the family's 1533-position model. The record is from RNAcentral.
GACGAACGCUGGCGGCGUGCUUAACACAUGCAAGUCGAACGGCAAGGCCCUGCUUUUGUUGGGUGCUCGAGUGGCGAACGGGUGUGUAACACGUGAGUAACCUGCCCUUGACUUGGGGGUAACGUCAGGGAACUGGGGCUAAUACAGGAUAGGAGCUCCUGCUGCAUGGUGGUGGUUGGAUAGUUGCGGCGGUUUGGGAUGGACUCGUGGUUUAUCAGCUUGUUGGUUGGGGAGUGGCUUACCAAGGCAUCGACGGGUAGCCGGCCUGGGAGCGUGACCGGCCACAUUGCGACUGAGAUACGGACCAGACGCCAAUGUGAGGCAACGGUGGGGAAUCUUGCACAGUGGGCGGAAGCCUGAGGCGGCGACGUCGGGUGCGGAAAGCCGGCCUUCGGGGUGUGAACCGCUUUCGCCUGGGACGAAGCGUGAGUGACGGUAAUGGGUAAAGAAGCACCGGCUAACUACGUG